This 686-nucleotide ribosomal RNA is filed under the name Escherichia coli. RNAcentral describes it as "partial 23S ribosomal RNA". It matches the Rfam family "Bacterial large subunit ribosomal RNA", at positions 1220 to 1890 of the family's 2925-position model. The record is from RNAcentral. Lineage: Bacteria; Pseudomonadati; Pseudomonadota; Gammaproteobacteria; Enterobacterales; Enterobacteriaceae. RNAcentral also lists the same sequence under 1 other name.
GUUGUUGGGUAGGGGAGCGUUCUGUAAGCCUGUGAAGGUGUACUGUGAGGUAUGCUGGAGGUAUCAGAAGUGCGAAUGCUGACAUAAGUAACGAUAAAGCGGGUGAAAAGCCCGCUCGCCGGAAGACCAAGGGUUCCUGUCCAACGUUAAUCGGGGCAGGGUGAGUCGACCCCUAAGGCGAGGCCGAAAGGCGUAGUCGAUGGGAAACAGGUUAAUAUUCCUGUACUUGGUGUUACUGCGAAGGGGGGACGGAGAAGGCUAUGUUGGCCGGGCGACGGUUGUCCCGGUUUAAGCGUGUAGGCUGGUUUUCCAGGCAAAUCCGGAAAAUCAAGGCUGAGGCGUGAUGACGAGGCACUACGGUGCUGAAGCAACAAAUGCCCUGCUUCCAGGAAAAGCCUCUAAGCAUCAGGUAACAUCAAAUCGUACCCCAAACCGACACAGGUGGUCAGGUAGAGAAUACCAAGGCGCUUGAGAGAACUCGGGUGAAGGAACUAGGCAAAAUGGUGCCGUAACUUCGGGAGAAGGCACGCUGAUAUGUAGGUGAAGCGACUUGCUCGUGGAGCUGAAAUCAGUCGAAGAUACCAGCUGGCUGCAACUGUUUAUUAAAAACACAGCACUGUGCAAACACGAAAGUGGACGUAUACGGUGUGACGCCUGCCCGGUGCCGGAAGGUUAAUUGAUGGGGU